GUUGGACUCUGGAGCGGCUGCGUUACUUUAAGCAAGUCACUCUGAGAUUCAGUUUCUCCAUCUAUAAAUUGAGGACAGUUAACGCUAGCCCGCAGGAUCAAUAUAUAUGUAUUACAGAUGCACCAGCCUAGUUAAAAUGUAAUGAUAUCAUUGCUAUUACUCACCUCUUUCAAAUAUAUCCAUAGUUCUCUUAAAACCUGGGGAUUUUUAGAAAAGCCACAUAAGAAGAGAUAAGUAAAGAAAACAUAGAAGGAAUAGAUGUACUGUCACCACGUGGCUUUCUCAAGCUGCACAUGGAAAUAGAUGAGUCUGAUCUUGUACAUUCCACUUCCAGCCCUGAGGUGGCACAGACAGGGCGGCAGCUUGGAGUAGAAGCAGCCGCUGCUCUCAGGGCCAGAGCCACCAGAAGAAGACUUGAACACAGGGGAGGAGGAGAAGGUGAGGUGGGGGCACUCCAGAAGCUUCUAGAUCCUUUGAUGGGAGAGAAGAGGUUAUGAGCCCUCUCCAAACAGAAGAUCCAACUGCACACUGCCACUGGCUUUGAUCCACCUCUUCAACUCUCAUCGGUUAAGAGUCGAGGUGUGAUACUUAAUAAUAGCUUAAAGGGCCAUCAGUCAGAGAGAGAUGCUCAUUGGGGUGAGAGGCCAGGCGAUGAAGAUGCACACCCCAGCCUCCACCACCUACUGAGACCCCGAGAGUCUGUGGUGGUCUGUGUUCUCAGGCGGAUGUGGCCAUGACAGCCAGUGGUUGCUGAGGGAACAGCGCGGCUCUGCUCCUCUUGGUUCUUGCAUUAUUCCACGUUUCAGUUCUAUUCAAAGGAAAGUGUGCGAAAUUUCCCUGUUCUUCCCCCACGGAGCUACAAAUGCGGCUGGGUGAGAGGGUUGCCAGGAAAAUCCGGGGAACGAUGACAGGAGAAGGCCACAGCCGUUCCGGGUGGAAAAGUUCUCCAGUGGGCUGCUCAGAACAGAUGGCAGAUAAUUGACAUCUGAUGGCAAAGUCCUGCCCCAAGAGCGAGCGUCCCAACCUCAGGGACCAGCUGGGGGAUGCUGUGCUUGGAACCAAGAACAGAGCCUGGGCUGCAAUUCACCCAAGAACGCCUGUUCCCAGGGCCCGGAAGCCCAGGCUUCCACGCCGCCCGCUCAAACCUCUGAUGGUCUAGAUUUCUUAACAGCAGUGCACAAGGAUUCUUCGGGCUGAAUACAGGCUACACUUGGUCCCUUUAUUUCUUUCUGGUGAAAGCUCAGCAUCUGUUUUAUGAAAAAAUCAAACGACAGGAGGGGAAGUUAAGGGAGAAGAGGGAAGGAAAAGGACCAGCACUAGAUUGCCAUUGAUUGCUUUGGAUGAAAGAACAAUAUUGCUCCUGAGAGUGGGGUAUCAAAAUUGUGCUUAGACCAAAAAAUAUUGAAAACACUUGUUGCUUUUAUGGGGCUACUAAACACACAUCCACGGGAUGAAACCACUGUCUCCUGGGGAGGAGCUGAAAGCCAUUCCCUUCUCAGAGCUCUUCUUGAUGCCUCCCUCAGGAGGAACGUGCACCCCUCCUUUGUGCUUCCCUCGCCCCGGCCCCUGUCCCCUGCCUCAGGACAGGCUGAGUCACCUGUGCAGCUCAGCAGUGGACCCUCAGUGACUCUUCUGAUCUCGUCACUUCUGAGAAGAUGGAGGAAUUUCCAUGUCUCUGCCCACAGCAAUCAAAGGAGGCUGCCACCAAGAAAUCAAGGAAACAAAGAGAAGGUAUUCAGCAUUCAUUUUUAAAAUAUAUGUGCGACACCCAUUAGGAUGGCUAUUACUUAACCAAAAAAAACAGAAAUUAGUAAAUGUUGAUGAAGAUGUGGCGAAAUUGGAACCCUCGGGCAUUGCUGGUAGGAAUGUAAAAAGGUUCAGCUGCUGUGGAAAAUAGCAUGGUAGUUCCUCAAAAAAUUAACCAUAGAAUUACCAUAUGAUCCAGCAAUUCCACUUCUGAGUACAUGCCCAAAAGAAGGGAAAGCAAGGUCUCGAAGAGAUAUUUGUAGCCCCUCGUUCACAGCAGCAUUAUUCACAGCAGCCAAAAGGUGGAAGCAACCCAAGUGUCCAUCAAUUGAUGAAUGAAUAAACAAAAUAUGGAUACACAUACAAUGGAAUAUUAUUCAGCUUUGAAAAGGAAAGAAAUUCUGACACAUGCUGCAACGUGGAUAAACCUUGAAAACAUUAUGCUGAGUAUAAUAAGCUGUCAAAAAAG
This is a long non-coding RNA of Equus caballus (horse), 2215 nucleotides long. The record is from Ensembl. Lineage: Eukaryota; Metazoa; Chordata; Mammalia; Perissodactyla; Equidae.